Lates calcarifer (barramundi perch) is the source of this 1631-nucleotide RNA transcript. It is a transcript of the gene named thioredoxin-interacting protein, with no coding region annotated. The transcript has 8 exons. The record is from RefSeq and is a predicted model, not a curated record. Lineage: Eukaryota; Metazoa; Chordata; Actinopteri; Centropomidae.
ACUGACCGUGUUUACCGACACAGAAACACUGAGACUCCACAAACACUUCAUCUAACUUUAUUCUACUUUGAUUCUUCUUUGACCUGUUUCCAUUAAAUGAAACUCAGACUUUUUCGCUUCAUUCAUAAUAAUUUUAUUUCUGUUUGAUUAAAUUCCUCCCGGUAAUAUCUGGAACUCUCUCCGGUCUCCGUGGGUCCGUCAUGGUCCUGUCCUCGGUCAGUAAGAUGAAGGUGUUCCAACUGCGGUUCUCGGACCCGGGCAGGUCCUUCUACAGCAGCGGGGACAAACUGUCCGGCUCCGUGCAGUUGGAGGCGACUCAGCCCUGCAGAGUGUCCGGCCUCAGAGUCACCGCCGCCGGCUGCGCCCGCGUGGAGCACCGCGGCGGGAAGAACCGGAGGAGCCGCAGCCAGGAGGUGGAGUACCUGAAGUACGAAGAGGAGCUGAGGCUGGAGGAGCAGCUCAGCAAAGACUCUGACGGCUGUUUCCUGCUGCAGCCCGGGAAAACCUACAGCUUCCAGUUCGGCUUUGAGCUUCCGGCUCCGGGGCGCCUGGUCUCAUCCUAUAAAGGGAAGUUCGGUUAUGUCCGGUACUACGCCCGGGCGGAGCUGGACAGGCCUUCCCAGCAUGCUUUGCAGUGUGAGAGGGAGUUUGAGGUGGAGGAGCCGCUGGACGUCAACAGACCGGACCUACUGGCUCCGGCUGCCGCCUCCAAACAGAAGAAGGUCACCUGUAUGUUCAUACCUGACGGCCAGGUGUCCAUCAGCGCUCAGAUUGACAGGAAGGGGUUCUGCGAGGGCGAGGACAUCAGCAUCAAUGCCAAGUUUGAGAACACGUGUUCUCGUAUUGUGGUGCCGAAGGCCGCCAUUGUCGCCAAACACACGUACCUGGCCAACGGACGCAGCAAGGUGCUGCGUCAGAAACUGUCGGCAGUCCGAGGAAACCACAUCAUCUCUGGGAUGUGCGACAUGUGGCAGGGAAAGACCAUCAGGGUCCCCAAACUGAAACCGUCCCUGCUGGACUGUGACAUCAUCCAGGUGGACUACGCCCUCAUGAUCUACCUGCACAUCCCCGGCAGCGAGAAGCUGGUCCUGGAGCUGCCCCUGGUCAUCGGUACGGUCCCAUUCAGUGGUGUCGGCAGCCGGACCAGCAGCAUGAGCAGCCAGGUCGGGUCCCUGGGGAGUCAGGCUGGGUCCCUGAGCAGCUGGUCCUCCUUCCCCUCGGCCCCCCCCAGCUACAGUAACAUCCACAGAGACCUGAGGGUGGACGGCCCCCGCACCCCGCUGCUCCACGACUACGACGGCGGCGAGGACGACGACGAGGAGGGCGGACUCUUCAUGAGGGCACCUGAACUGUACUAUCCCCCUCCCCCCGCAUACAGCGAGGUGGAUCAGGACCCUGUGAAACCUCCUCAGGUCGUCCAGGUCUUCUGACGACGUCCUGUUAACACCUGUCUGGGGGCGGAGCCUGAGCUCAGUGAUCGACAGAACCAGAGGAACCAGAGGAACUCAGGAUUACACUUGUUGGAAAAACUGGAGUUGGAAAGAGUGCAGUAGGAAACACCAUCUUAGGAAGAAAAGCUUUUGAAUCUAAACUGUCCAUGUCCUCAGUGACAUCAAAGUGUAAAAAGAAAA